ACUUAAAUAGUUUAUUAAAAAUAUUAAUUUGUGGAGUUAGUGAAAUGAUACUUAAUUCAUUUUAAGUU
This 68-nucleotide transfer RNA is filed under the name Goera martynowi. RNAcentral's name for it is "tRNA-His". Lineage: Eukaryota; Metazoa; Arthropoda; Insecta; Trichoptera; Goeridae. The record is from RNAcentral.